Molecule: unclassified non-coding RNA, 342 nt
Filed under: soil metagenome
Description: partial contains 5.8S ribosomal RNA, internal transcribed spacer 2, and large subunit ribosomal RNA
Rfam family: 5.8S ribosomal RNA (bases 1-121)
Source: RNAcentral
GAUGAAGAACGCAGCGAAAUGCGAUAAGUAGUGUGAAUUGCAGAAUUCAGCGAAUCAUCGAAUCUUUGAACGCACAUUGCGCCCUUCGGUUAUUCCUUAGGGCAUGCCUGUUCGAGCGUCAUUUCAACCUUCAAGCCUGGCUUGGUGUUGGGCGCUGUCCCGCCUCCGCGCGCGGACUCGCCCCAAAUGAAUUGGCAGUCGCACCCUCCGAGCCGCGAGCGCAGCACAAGUCGCGCGGGCGGAACUCUGGGGGGACGGACGCUCCACAAGACCCUUUCUCAGUCUUGACCUCGGAUCAGGUAGGGAUACCCGCUGAACUUAAGCAUAUCAAUAAGCGGAGGA